This is a long non-coding RNA of Diospyros lotus (date-plum), 3688 nucleotides long. RefSeq lists it as uncharacterized. Lineage: Eukaryota; Viridiplantae; Streptophyta; Magnoliopsida; Ericales; Ebenaceae. The transcript has 3 exons. The record is from RefSeq and is a predicted model, not a curated record.
AGAAGAAGAGAGAUGGAGAGCAGAGAGAGAGCUCAUGAGAAAGGAAGAGUGCUCGCGAGAGAGAGGGAGAGAGAGAGAGCAUUGCCGAGAGUGCGAGAUCGAGGGAGAAGAGGCCGGAUGAGGUGUGGCCAGGGAAUCGAACAUCACCUUAGGAUGCAAUGGCCAUGGCUGGCCAGCCAGGGAGGCCAAGCCGAGCAGCCAGCAAGCGGGUGGUUCGGGAAUAAGCUGAGGCAACUAGUGGGUCGCGCGAGCAGCUGCUGUAGCGGCAUCGGCUAUGGCAGCAGAGGCGGAUGCGGCUAGCGGCAAUGGCUGUAGCGGCCGACAGCCAUGGAUGUAGCAGAGCAGUAGCGAACAAAGGCCGACGAUAGAAGCUGGGUCAGCUGAGGGCGACGGAAGUCGGCAGCAGCCAAGGUGCGAUGAUGGACGGAGGUGCUAGAAGCACCGACAGCAGCUGUGAUGGCUGCGUGCUAGUGCGGCUAUGUGCGUGAGGCCGAGCUCGUGGUGGUGGCAGCCGUUAAUAGCAGCGGUGCGGUGCGGCCAGCGGUGGCUGCGCGGCGUGAAGUUGAUGGCGAGGGCGAGUUGGUGGCAAAGGCGGCCGACAUGCGCAGCCGAGCUGCUGUGCGCGGGUGCAUGAGAAGAAAGAAGAAGCAGCUGAGGAGGAAGAAGCUGCGCGCACGGGAGAGCUGGAGGAGAAGAACAGUGGAGGAGAGAAAAUAAAGAAGAAAAAAAAAAGAAAAAUAGAAAAGAAAAAAAAAAGAAAUACUGGAAAAUUGGGAAAAAUAGCUGAAAAAUCCAGAAAAAUUUGGGAAAGUCCUGAAAAUUAAUUUGGGGCUCGAGGAGUAGACUAGAGGUUCGAUAUGGGAAUCCGAGGGCAUUAUAGUAGACCAAUAGGCGAUGCCAAUGUGGGUGUUUAGCCGAUUUUCUCUUUCAAAUUAACUGAGGUUCGACCGAGAAGGAAGUGAUCCUAGAGGAACUUAACAUUCAGGCUGGAGUUCGUGCUGACGCAGAGAUGAGGCUUCGAGCCAGGUAAGGGAUGACCCCAUGUGGAGGUGGCCUUGCAAGUUGAUGAUAUAAGUCCAGAAGCAAGCAAGGAUGGCGCCGGGAGGCUGUUGUGGUAAUUAGCUUGUUGCCUGAGAUGUGUUGUUAUGUAAUCUCCUGUAUUCUUUUAUAUGUAUUCAUGUGUUUGAAUGUAAGUGAUAUUAAGCACUAGAGGUAUCUAGUUGUUGUAAUCAUAACAGUGUGAUAGAUGAUUGUGAGUCUGCGUGAUUUACAUGUGGCUUGAGUUGUUGAAUCCAAGUUCGGAUCGAGUAAAGACCAACGAGGUAUGUUCACAAAAUCUCCAAUACUCAGCGAUGUGUUGUUAUGCUAGCUUUGUGCCUGGGUCACCUCUGGCUUGCUAUGGGGCGAGCUGAAGAGAGGUGAUGCUCACUCGAGUUUCGGGUCUCGGUUUGUUGAGUUUUUCUUGUUUGAGUUAAGACCGAUUCCUGAGUGAAGAGAAGGGAAGGAUGAAGCCUAGUUCCCACCUAGGGCGUUUCCUGUUGAAACAUAGUCCAACCCUUCAGUUGUGGUUCGUCGGGUGAGUAAUCAAGUUGAUUAUUUACCGGUGGCGCCCGUAAGUGGGAGCGGGUCGUUACAGUUGGUAUCAGAGCAUGGCUAGCUAUAUGAGUGAGGAAGGCUAGCGUGCUUGGGUGUUAAUUAUGGUCGAUUAAGUUAUUAAUGUGAGUAAUUGCCAAAGUUUGGAAUAGAGGUUGUCUGGCAUGAUUUGAAUGUAAGUCGGAAUGUCUUAACUGCUGAGUUGGGGUCGAGAAUAAUUAAUUUGAAAUUUUGAGAUUUUAAUGUACGAUUGGUCCGAUAACCUUGAAAGUUGGACACGUGGACCGAGGACCAUAAGGGAUUGGGUCGAGUUAUUGAGGCUUGCAAUGGUUUAAAUGGUAUGUUUGGAUAUUCCUGUUCUAGGGAUGAGAAAAUACCCUGGAUUGAGAUGAUAUACCUGUGAGAGGUAUACGGGUUGAGCAAAGAAGAACCGUAAACCCAAGUGUGGUGUCGGUGUCAGGAAAACCUGAAUAUUGAAAUUUGGGUGCAUGGUAUGUUCUAAGGAUGAGGACUCCUUGAGAUUGAAGUGUUGAGGCUCGUGUGGGGACACGAAAUCGAAGCAUGACUAGUCCGGGAAGGGAUUAGUAGAGCGUCCCGAUGUCGGGGAUUCGUCAAGCAUGUUCGAGGGAAUAGAGUUGUCCCUUGGAAGGGGUGCGGUAAGGCAUGUGUGCUUGAGAUAAAAUGAGCUAAGGUGGGUGUUAACUCGAGGCUCAAGGAAAAGAUUCGACAUCAGGCGAUAUGAUCGUAUUGUUAAAAUAAUCUCGGAGGGGAUGUGCCUAGGGUAUGAGUGGACCCUAGUUGGCUUCUUGAUGAGAUGAGGUCUAUCAUUGGGAAUGAUAGACGUGUGGAAAGUGGACCCAGCGGGUGUUUGCAUGAGAUGGAAGUCCCAAGUGAGUCGAGCUAGAAUCCAGGGGGAUCCAGAUUUGGGAUUAUGGAGUUGGGCAUGCGUUGAUAUGCGUGUGGGAGCCAUUGGGUUAGAAGUCUUGGUUGAGUAAGGCCAAGAGACCGUUCAUGUGAUUGAUGGAUGAGGGACCAAUCAAAACUCUCAUUAUGACACUUGGGGUCAGAUGGGAAGCCUAAGGUUGGGAGAUGAGAGGUGAAUAGACCCUCAUUAUGAUGCCUGGGGUCGUGAUGACGCCUAAUGUAACGACCCAUUCCCGGGUUUAUGCCAUUAUUGAUAUUUAUUUUAGAUUGGUGAAGAUAUAUAUAUAUAUUGUUUUUAUUUAUUAAAAUGGAAAUAGAAAAAGAAAAUGGCAAAGUUGUGAUAUGGUGCAAGAGCAAGGGUAAAAUGGGAAGAAAAGAGAAAUAUAUAAGCAAUUUUGAUUUCAAUUCUCUUCAUUCUCGUUCUUCUCUUCUUCUUGCCUUCUACAAGUUCCAUCUUCUUUGAAAUUAAGCUCUAGGAAGAGAUUUGGUGGAGGAAAUUAGAGGGCUUUUACUUGGAAGCUUGAGGAUCUUCUUCUUCUCCACUUAAAUCACCCAUUGAAGCAAAGGCAAGCUCCUUCUUGUUCUCCAUCCUUUCUUUUUUGUUGGAUGUAAGUUCUCUCCCUUCUUUUCUUCUAAAAGUAAGUUCUAAACUCUCUUUGCUUUCUUUUGAAUCCCUUGGCUUUGAUGUUUUUCAAGAAAAGCUUGGUUUUGAAAGCCAUGUAGAAAUGGUUGUAACUCUCUCAAAUCCCUUGUUUUAUUUCCUUUGUUUCAUUUGGGUCUUGAAAUAGAGGUUGUAGUACCCCUUUUGAAUGAGGGAUUAUGGUGGAAUUGGAGUUUAUUGGAGUAUUGGAAGGUUUGGAAGGGGUUUGAAGGGUUUUGGGGGUGUUUUGUUCGUCAUUUUUGGGUUUUGGAGGUUCAACAGUCAACUCUGGGGUGUUGGGAGUUGACUUUUCAUGAAGGGUUCUCGGCUAGGUCGACUCUGGGCAUGUGACAGUCAACUUUGCCUCGAGAGUCGACUCCCAGGUGUCGAAAGUUGAUUGCUGCAGUAAGAAGGUUUGUGAAUUGAUUAGGUGAUAUCCUAUGGUAUGAAAAAAAAAGAAAUGCUGGAAAAUUGAGAAAAAUAGACGCAAAAUCCAGAAAAAUGGGGGAAAGUCUUGAAAAUUAAUUUGGG